This 1017-nucleotide long non-coding RNA is filed under the name Marmota monax (woodchuck). The record is from RNAcentral. Lineage: Eukaryota; Metazoa; Chordata; Mammalia; Rodentia; Sciuridae.
CUCUAUCCAUUCAUCUGUUGAUGGCACCUGGGCUGGUUCCAUAGCUUGGCUAUUGUGAAUUACAUGGUUAUAAACAUUGAUGUACCUGUAUUACUAUAGUAUACUGUUAGUUCUUUUGGAUAAAUACCACUGAGUGAUAUCCCCAACCUUGUUGUUUUUUUCUUUUUUUUAGUAAAUAUUUUCAAAACCACUGGGGUACAUGAUGGAACAAAUAAGCUUCAGAAAUGGAAGGCCUGGGUAGCUCCUGGGUCCUCAGCAAAGGAGAUCUGGGGGCUUUCCUUUCAUGCUUUUGUUGAAAUUAUGUUCCCUAGGCUCAGUUUAUUCAUCUCUUAUUUCAAGUUCUCCUGAGAAAAUAUGAUUGACCUGCUUGGAUCAAUAAUCUACCCACCUCUGGCUCAAUCUGCCCUGUCUGAGAGUGCAGGCUAGACAGAAGGCAGUAGGAGAACUGAAGGUAACAAAAGGCAUCUACUACAGGAUGUUCAAGCUCCUCGAGAUUUAUCCCUCAUUCCUCAUAUUUUCUUGAUAACUGGAACUGAAAAAUAAUUUUUGACUACAUUACUAAGAAUCAUGAGCUAUCACUAUUUCUUAUUUAAAAAAUAACACUGAAUUGAUGGCAAUUUCACUAAUUAUGCAAAAUAAUGCAUGUACAAAUACUUAUAUUGUUUCUUCAAAUGUAUAAACCCUUUAGUUUUUAUGAAGGUUAUUUAAGUAAUAUUUUUAAUCUCAGGUUAAAUGUAUUAUGUUACUAGUACUGAUUUAAUUUUUAUUUUGUACAUAACUACUUCUUGGCAUCUAAGAUAAAAAAAAAAUCGAGGCUGAAUUGAUUUUAAGUUGUAAGUCUGAAUACCUUACAGGUGUUUAAGCUAUACUUUACCUUUUUCUGAAAUCUGAUUAUCUGCUAUCCCUCAACCCCAAACUGAAUUAGACAGUACCUUUCUUCAGUUACAGCACUCACUCUGCCAGGCUACCGUUCAUGGCUAUGGGUAAGGAACUUAAUCUCAAUGUAUCUGCUUUGCU